Molecule: long non-coding RNA, 2493 nt
Organism: Piliocolobus tephrosceles (Ugandan red Colobus)
Lineage: Eukaryota; Metazoa; Chordata; Mammalia; Primates; Cercopithecidae
Source: Ensembl
AUUUUUAUCUCUUGGUUUACUCAACGAAAAAGAAGUUGAAUUUUGCAAACACAUGAAUCUGCCUAUAAUGUUUUUUUUAUUAAUUAAAAGAUUAUUAUUAAUGGAAGUAGGGAAUAGUAAUUUUAAUGUAGUAAACGAUAUUAAUGAAUUAAACUUAAAAGGGUAUAAAGUGGGACAACUAUAUGAUUUUUUUUUAAGUUUCGACAUAAAUCAACCGACAAGCGUAUUAAAUGGUACCAACGCUGCAGAUGUUGUUAAUAGUAGUGCUAUCACUACUGGUGUUGCUACAACAGCCAAAUCAAUUUCUACGGUUACUUCAAUGAAAUCAGGUUCCUUUACUUCUAAAUCAGGCUCUAUUGCAACUACAGGUGUUACUACAAAGGGUAAUAGUAACACUUUUGUGGGUAAAAAUAUAAACACUAGAAGGAGUGAAGAAAAAAAGAAAAAAUUAAAAUAUAAUAACGAACUUGAUAAAAUAGAAAUACCAAAAAUAACUAGCUUGGCAAGCGAACAAAACGCUAAUGUUCAUCAUAUAAAUAACAAUAGUGAAAAUUAUCAGUAUAAUAAUGAUACCACAUUAAAUGGCGUAUCUACAGGUGUUCGUUCUAGUACGAGUACUAGCGCACAUGCAGCCAAUAACACUUGUACAGACACUAACACGUGUACAACUUUGUCUAGUAACCUACAAAGCUACAACUCAAAUACAGAUAACAGAACGUGUGUUUAUGCACAGGAAACUACAAACAAACUUUUAAAAAAAAAUCCAAACAAAAAUGUGACCAUCAAUAACAACAUUGGUAUUAGUACUAGUAGUACUACUACUACGAAUGAUAUUUUGAAAAAAAAUUAUGAGCAAGAUAAUAAUUCAGUUUAUAGCUUGCAUACAACUGAGAAUAAAAGUUCGAAACAAAACAUAACCAAUGGGAAUGAUAAUAGUGUCAACACAGUUGAUGUUAAUAUGAGUGCCUCAAGUACCAAUACGGGCAAACCCAAUGUCAAUGAUGUGAAUAUUUACACAGAGCGAAAUAUUACUAAAGAUAAAAAGACUAAAGAAAAAUAUAUAAGAAAAAAAGAAGAAAAGUCAUGUUUAUAUAUAUCUACACAAUUAAAAGAAUCAGAUAGCAUGGAUAAUUCAAAUACUCAAGACUUGAAAAAUCAAACCGUUUUAAACACGCCACAAUCUAAAAAAAAAUGGAGUUUAAAAAAAAAAGCACAAUUAGAAGAAGAAAAUCGUAUUACCAGUAAUGAAAAAUGUGUAUAUCAAAUAAAUAACAAUAUUAAUAACGCUAAUAUUGAAACAAGAGAUUUAGACCAAUUAAUUGUUGAUAGAAAAAAAAAAAAAAAAAAUGAAGAAAAAAAUGAAAUAAUUAGCAGUUCUUUACAAAUGAAAAAUGAUAAUGAUGUACACAAUGGAUCUUUGAUUAAUGGUGAUGAUAAUAUCAUUGGGAAUUGCAACAGUUAUGACAAUAGUAUGAACGAAUUACUUUCACCGUUAGAUUGUGUGGGGAUAGGAAAUUAUAAAACACCUAUUUAUGACAUGAACGACGAAAAGAAAAGCAGUAUUUGUAGUAAUAAAGAAAAAAAAGCCCCUAAAAAAAAUAAAAUAAACGUAAAUAAACAAUAUAAUAACGAAUCAAAUAGUAUGUCUGUUAGUUUAGAAGAAAGUAAUAUUAGUACAAAUGAGCAAAUCAAAAAUCCAAAAAUUUCUAAAAAAAAAUCGGCUGAAAAAGCAAAAGAAUCUACUCCAUCGUUUAAUAAAAUUCAGUUGAAUAAAAAAAAAUCACACGACAAUAUUAACGACGUUGUUAAUAGUAAUAAAAUACAAAACGCAAAUGAUAAAAACAAUGCAAACGAUGGUACAAAAAUUAUUGAUACUACACUCGUCUCCUUGGAUGGUGUUAACACAAAUAACAAUAUAGAUUAUUUUAAAAAUAAGUUAAAAAAAACAUUAACAAAAAAUGAUGGCGUUAUAACCAAUGAAUAUUAUGAAAAUAGUUCCAAAAAAAAAAACAGUAAAACAAAAGCAAAAAAAAACACAGAUGAUUAUAUAAAUAAAAAUGAGUCAAAACAAGCAAGUAAUAGUAAUCAUAAUAAUAGUAUCGACAUGGAAAGUAAUGAUAAACCAUAUACAGAAGAGGAAAUUUAUAGUAAUAGCAUUAGCAAUAGUAUUGGUAAUAGCAAUAGCAUUAGUAUUAUCAAAGCUAAUAGCAAAAACAAUAGCAAAAGUAAUAGCACAAAUAAUAGCAAAAUUAGUAGCAAAACCAAUAGCAACAGUAUUAAUAAUGAUGCUGCUACGGAUACAAAGAAUGCUAACACCACUACAGUUGAUGACGAUGAAGACGAUUAUAACAUAACAACCGAACCAGAUGAAAAAAUAGGUAGAAAUAAAAAAUUGUUAUCUUCUUCGUCAUUGCCAGUUUUAAGCAAACAAGAAAAAAGCAAAAAAGGGAAACUAAAAACUGACACUAAUUGUUUGGGUAUCACUUCUUGUAG